Molecule: small RNA, 94 nt
Filed under: Pan troglodytes (chimpanzee)
Lineage: Eukaryota; Metazoa; Chordata; Mammalia; Primates; Hominidae
Source: RNAcentral
GAGAGCAAUUAGGUUACAACAUCUGUCACUUCAUUGAUUAUUAAGUAUUAUUUAAGUCCUCUGACUUUCUAGGCAGAUGUUCUUGUCCUCCCUC